Molecule: RNA transcript, 9359 nt
Organism: Mirounga angustirostris (Northern elephant seal)
Lineage: Eukaryota; Metazoa; Chordata; Mammalia; Carnivora; Phocidae
Gene name: 26S proteasome regulatory subunit 10B-like
Exons: 1
Source: RefSeq, a predicted model, not a curated record
UCCAGCUGAAACACCAGUCUUGUAAAGUUGUUAAUGGUCAUUAUUCCAUCAUAAGUCCUUUCUUUGCAUAGCAAAUUGCUUAACAUCUUAUUUUUGAAAUAACUGUAGCAGGUUUAUACUUAUAAGAGCAUUAAAAGAUCUUUUAAGAGUCCCUGUUCCAGUUAUCCAUAUUCUUAGAUUUUUGUAAAUGGUUUUAAUUUUAAUACUUGCCUAGGAAGCACGCCUGUAGAUGCUCUUUAUUGGGGUCAAACAGGUCACCUUUGAGCAGUGUGAACAGAAGCUUAGCUUUUAGAUCUGUCUGUCCGUAAAUAAUAAUAAAUAGAGCAAAGAUGGCAUAACAGGUAUUUCAGAGGCAGCAGGUGGCUGAGAAGGCAGGUUAUCAGUUGCAGAUGGUAGGACAUUAUCAGAACAAGUACUAGAAACACAAAUGAAAGUAUGCAAUAGAAAGAUUUUUUGAUCAAUUAUCCUUUCCAGUACAGUUGUAUACAUAGAUAAAAAUGUUUAGAUGCUUUUCUCACACACACACACAAACACACACACACACACACACAAGAUAGUUAAGUGGAUAGUAUUUUUAAUGAAUAAGUUUAGGUUCUUUUAUCUUUUUUAUUUUUUAGUUUGGGUUCUAUUAGUUUUUAAUUUUUUGAAAAAGGAUUUUAUUUAUUUAAGAGAGAGAGAGAAUCAGCAGGGGAGAGGAGAAGGGGGUGAGGGAGAAGCCGACUUCCAGCUGAGCAGGGAACCCAGUGGAUGCAGGAUUCAAUCCCAGAACCCCAGGAUCUGACCUGAGCCCAAGGCAGAUGCGUAACCCCAGUUUAGGUUCUUUUAAAUGCUUGGAGUAUAUAUGAAUCUCAGAGCAUGAAUUUUCUAGUAGCAUGUAGUAUAAGAUUGUGAGUCAGAAUUUAUUUACUGAAAUUAAAAAUAUUAGAGAGGGCGCCUGGGAGGCUCACAUGGUUCAGCGUCUGCCUUCGGCUCAGGUCAUGAUCCCAGCGUCCUGGGAUCAAGUCCCGCAUCGGGCUCCCUGCUCCUUGGGAGCCUGCUUCUCCCUCUGCCUCUCUCUCUCUGUCUCUCAUGAAUAAAUAAAUAAAAUCUUUAAAAUAAAAAUAAAAUAUUAGAGAUUAAGGAAAUUGUACAGAAGGGAAAAGGGAGGUAAUACAAAGACAGUUGAGAACCAUUGUUCUAGAGGGCACUCAUAUGGACGUGGGCCAAACCAGCACGACCUCAGAAAUGACCUCAUGAAAGGGAAGAUAUGUCAGUGUCAGAACAGCUGAGAGUAUGAGAUCUUUAAGCAAAUAUUCCAGAUACUGUAUCUGAAUUAAGAAUUAGCUGACAUGUAAUCUUUCUGAAAAGUCAUCUGAUUUUAACCUCUCUAGAAUUUAAAGGUUUUUUCUUAACAGAUACAAAAAUUGGGUCUCCUUCAGUGGAGAUAAAUCCCUGAGUACCAUUUUGUUGUCUUGUUUUUACAUUUCGCAAUAAAUAAGAUUAAAUAAUCCUCUCAAAAAACUUAACAGGGUAUUUUGAUAAUAUGCACCAUAAUAACAAUUUGUUUCUUGGUCAGACAAGGAGAUAAUAAAGUACUUUUUGAUAUUAAAACCAUGUCCUAUUACUGUAUAUUAAAGUCAAAAAUAAAAUUUCCACAGAGAAAAAGGAAAGAAACAAGCAAUGCCAAGUAAAGAUCAUACUUAUUCUGUGAAAUUUACCCAGAAGACAAAGUGCUCAUGUUUGACAGAAAAAUGCUACAGUGUUUGGUCUGGUCUGCUUUGGUAGCCAUCCUGUUGGGUGGGAUGUGCUCUAGCAAUGUGGUUUUGAUUUGCGUUUCACUAUAAUGACGAAUGAUGUUGGUUAUCUUUUCAUGUGCAAUUUAUUGGCCGUUUGUGUAUCUUUGGGGAAAUGUCUAAGUCCUUUGCCCAUUUUUAAAAUUGAGUUUUGUGUUGUUAAGUUAUAGGAGUUCUCUUAUUCUGGAUAUUAACCCCUCAGCAGAUACAUAAUUUGCAAGUAUUUUUUCCCAUUCUUUGGGUUACCAUUUUACUCUGUUGACUUGUGUCCUGUGAAGCACAAAAGUUUUCAAUUUUGAUGUAUUCCAAUUUAUCUCUUCUUUUGGUGUCAUAUCCAAGAAGUCAUAGCCAAAUCCAGUGUCGUGAAGCUUUUUCUCUAUGUUUUCUUCCAAGUAUUUUAUAGCUUUGGCUCUUACAUUUAUGUGUUCAAUCCAUUUUGAGUUCAUUUUUUCAUAUGGUGUAAGGUAAGGGUCCAACUUCAUUUUUUUCCAUGUGGAUUUCCAGUUUUCCCAGCAACAUUUGUGGAAGAGUGUCCUUUCCCCAUUGAAUGAUCUUGGGGCACCCAUGUUGAAAAAUCAUUUGACCAUAUAUGUGAGAGUUUAUUUCUGUUUUAUUCCAAUAGUCUAUAUGUUUGUCUUUAUGCUGGGACCAUACCGUAUUGAUUACUAGUAGUUUUUGCAGUAAGUUUUGAAAUCAGGAAGUGUGAGCCCUCCAACUUUGUUGUUCUUUUUCAAAAUUGUUUUGUCUUUUUGUUGUCCCUUGAGAUUCCAUGUGAAUUUUAAAAUGGGUUUUUCUACUUCUGCAAAAAACUAGAUUUUUGCAGAUCUUGGGGUUUUAAUAGGGAUUGCAUUAAAUCUGUAUAUCACUUUGGGAACAGGUAGUACCCUCUUAUGUGGAUUAUCUCAUUUUAUCUGUACAAUUGGUAGGUACUAUUAUUUUUCUCAUUUUAAGUGUGUGGAAACUGAAGUUUAGCAAUAUACAAUAAAUUCCAAGUUCCACGUGUAGAACGAAGAGAUGCUGCAAUUUGAACACAGGCAGUCUGACUCCAGGGCCAAAGUUGAUAACCGUUUCGCUAUGUUGCCUUUCACAGCUUUGGCCGUGCACAUAUAAAGCAGCAAUAAACUUAGAUAAGCUUUCUGCAGUGAUCCAUGGUUAUAUUGUCCAGGUGGCAAGAUGACAAAAUCAUUUCAGUUCCCAGUAGAAAUUAUUUGAAUAUAUUUUUAGUUGUGUUGCUACACAUCCUAUGCUCCAAACAAAAGAAUUUAAGUGGAAAACAAUUUGAUAAAAUAUAGAAAGUAAGUCUUUGUGGAAGGAGCAGCGUAAGGGACCAUAAUGCCUUUUCCUAGAUGUUGAGGGAAAGUUGAAAGUAAAUGAAUUUUUUUAAAAGUUUGGACUGGAUGACCUUUGCCUUUGAGAGUACUCUGCCAAAAGACAAGGAAGUAUUAUUUAAAUUGUACACUUUCAAGUCUAGACAUACCUUGGUUGCUUGAGGAACUGAACCAUGUUUUCCAAAAUCAUCAUAAUAUUUGCUUCAUGAAGGAGGAUUACUGGAGUGUGAGAAAAGAAUCAGAGAUUUAGAUGAAACCAUUUUGUAGCUGGGGAAGCUAAAUCCAAAGCAGUUACCUUAACUUGCCAAUGUCACGGAUCUAGUCAGGAGCAAAGCCAGACUAGAGCCCAGGUCUUUUGACUCUGAUUGAGGCUUAUUAUACUCAAUGUGCUGAAUUACCUUAUUCUUAAAGAAAUAUGCCAAGGUUGUAAGCAAACCAUAAACUGAUUUAAUCUUUUAACAAAUCUUUUUUUGAGGACCUACACAGAACAAGGCACUAUGCUGAACAUUGUUGGUGAACAAAAAUGUUCAGAUGUAUCCUCAAUGGAUUUUUAAUUGAGAAGGGACUAAGAAGUAUCUAGCAUUAAAAAGACAACUUGCAAAUAUAUCUAGGGAAAAACCCCAGAACAGUAAGUAGCAGCACAUCUCUAAAAGGAUGUUACGCUGAUGAAUUUGCAGUACAGGGAUAUAAGUGGUAGGUAAAAAAUGAAGCCGCAUCAGUUAUGUAUAUGAUAUAGCAAAUAGAUAUUUAAUAUAUUUGAAUCAAAUCAAUAACCUGGGAAGAGUUAACCUACAACCAAGGCUGCAAAACUGUUUUUGUAUCAUGGUGAAUGAUCCUGAGAAUUACACCAAGUAAAGCCAUAUGUAAAUACUAUUCACAGCUAGCAGUUCAAAACUCUCAGGCAGAACUUACCAUAUUUUCUCCACAAAACAGCCUCCCUUCUUAAUGUACUUAGUCAUAAUAAUGACACCACAAUUCCCUUAAGUCAUCAGAGCUCAGAACCCCUGAGUAAAAACCUUUGAUUAUGGUUUUCAAGCUCUUUCUAUUUUUCCUUCUCAUUGUCUCCUUCACCAAUCUCUUCUUUUGUACUCCCUUAUAAAUAACUUCAUGUUUAGACUAUCGUAAUAACCUCAUUAGUCUUCCUAUCUUCUCUCAGUCCUGCAUGUCACUGUCAGGUCAUUCUUCCCAUAGCAAAGUUUUAACCAUAUCACUUUUCUGCUCAAGCUUUAUAUCUCUCCCCAUUUCCUGUAGCAUGGAGUCUAACACCCCAGACUGUCACCAGACACAGAGGCAGAGGCAUAUUUUAACAUCAAAAGAGAGUCUGAUGUAGGGCUUGCCGUAGUGGUUGGAGAGGAAGAAAGUACCCCCCCACACCCUUUAAAGACACUAUCCUUUGACCACCUUUCCACCUGUCUCCUGGUAUUAUUUUCACAGUGCUUUCACUACCAUGUUUUUGCCAUAAUUUUUUUUUCUUUUUUAAAAUUUUUUAUUUAAAUUCAAUUUAGUUAACAUAGAGUGCAUUACUAAUUUCAGGGGUAGAAUUUAGUGAUUCAUCAGUUGCAUACAAAACCAGUGCUCAUUACAUCGUGUCCUCCUUAAUGCCCAUCACCCAAUUACCCCAUCCCCCCACCCAUCUCCCCUCCAGCAACCCUCAGUUUGUUUCCUAGAGUUAAGUGUCUCUUAUGGUUUGUUUCCCUCUCUAUUUUCAUCUUAUUUUCCCUUACCUUCUGCUAUGUUCAUCUGUGUUGUUUCUUAAAUUCCACACGUGAGUGAAAUCAUAUGGUAUUUGUCUUUCUCUGACUUAUUUUGCUUAGCAUAAUACCCUCUAGUUCCAGCCAUGUCGUUGAAAUUGCAAGAUUUCAUUCUUUCUGAUGGCUGAGUAAUAUCCCAUUGUAUUUAUAUACCACAUCUUCUUUAUCCAUUCAUUUGUUGAUGGACGUCUGGACUCUUUCCAUAUUUGGGCUAUUGUGGACAUUGCUGCUGUAAACAUUGGGGUGCAUGUGAACCUUCAAAUCACUAUGAUUGUAUCCUUUGGAUAAAUACCUAGAAGUGCAAUUGCUAGGUCAUAGGGUAGUUCUAUUUUUAACUUUUUGAGGAAACUCCAUACUGUUUUCCAGAGUGGCUGCACCAGUUUGCAUUCCCAUCAACAGUGGAAGAAAGUUCCCCUUUCUCCUCAUCCUUGCCAACACCUGUUGUAUCCUGAGUUGUUAAUUUAAACCAUCCUGACCAAUGUAGGUGGUAUUUCAUUGUGGUUUUGAUUUGUAUUUCCCUGAUGCCGAGUGAUGUUGAGCACUUUUUCAUGUGUCUGUUAGCCAUUUGGAUGUCUUCUUUGUAGAAAUGUCUGUUCAUGUCUUCUGCCCAUUUCUUGACUGGAUUUUUUGGGUUUUGGGUGUUGAGUUUGGUAAGUUCUUUAUAGAUUUUGGAUACUAGCCCUUUAUCUGACACGUCAUUUGCAGAUAUCUUCUUCCAUUCCAUAGGUUGCCCUUUAGUUUUGUCGAAUGUUUCCUUUGCUGUGCAAAAGCUUUUUAUCUUGAUGAAAUCCCAGUAGUUCAUUUUUGCCUUUGUUUCUCUUGCCUUUGGAGACGUGUCUAAGCAAGAAGUUGCUGCAGCCAAGGUCAAAGAGGUUGCUGCAUGUGUUCUCCUCUAGGAUUUUGAUGGAUUCCUGUCUCCCAUUUAGGUCUUUCAUCCAUUUUGAGUCUAGUUUUGUGUAUGGUGUAAGAAAGUGGUCCAGUUUCAUUCUUCUGCAUGUGGCUGUCCAAUUUUCCCAACACCGUUUGUUAAAGAGACUUUUUUCCAUUGGAUAUUCCUUCCUCCUUUGUCAGAGAUUAGUUGACCAUAGAGUUAAGGGUCCAUUUCUGGGUUCUCUAUUCUGUGUCUUUUUUUGUGCCAGAAUCAUACUGUCUUUUUUUUUAAGAUUUUAUUUAUUCAUUUGAGACAGAGAGAUACAGCGAGAGAGCAUGAGCAGGGGGAGAGGCAGAAGCAGGCUCCCUGCUGAGCCAGGAGUCCAUUGCGGGACUCCAUCCCAGGACCCUGGGAUCAUGACCUGGGCCGGAGGCAGACACUUAACCAUCUGAGUCACCCAGGUGCCCCAGAAUCAUACUGUCUUGAUUGAUUACAGCUUCAUAAAUACAGCUUGAAUUCUGGCAUUGUGAUGCCUCCAGCUUUGGUUUUCUUUUUCAACAUUCCUUUGGCUAUUCGGGGUCUUUUCUGGUUCCAUACAAAUUUUAGGUUUGUUUGUUCCAGCUCUGUGAAAAUUGCUUGAUGGUAUUUUGAUAGGGAUGCAUUGAAUGUAUAGAUUGCUUUGGGUAGCAUAGACAUUUUAGCACUGUUUGUUCUUCAAAUCCAUGAGCUGGAAUGUUUUUCCAUUUCUUAAUGUUUUCCUUAAUUUCAUUCCUAAGUGUUUUAUAGUUUUCAGAGUACAGGUCUUUGGUUAGAUUUAUUCCUAGGUAUCUUAUGGUUUUUGGUGCAAUUGUAAAUGGGAUCAAUUCCUUCAUUUCUUUUUCUUCUGACUCAUUGUUAGUGUAUAGAAGUACACCUGACUUCUGUGCAUUGAUUUUACAUCCUAGGACUUCCAGUACUAUGUUGAACAACAGUUUUAUCGUAUUCUUAACAACUGUUAUGUCAACAUACUUUAAAUUAUUGAAAAAGUACCACUUUUCAGGAGAAUUAUGCCCAGGAGGGAUAACUCUCUCUGCUCCCCUUAUAAACCAGGCUUCUGUCAUUCCAAGACCUUCAACAUGGGUCCUAAACUGCCUUACCUAGAUUUAUUUCUUCUUAUUCCUCAACAGUAACCUUCCAAUCCAGCCAAACUGGUUUGUUCACCAUUCAUUCCCUGAAAGUAUCUUGCUGAUUAGCCUAGAGAGGUAUGGAUAGAAAUGGAAAGAAGUAGAAACAGAUCCAACUGAUGGAUUGGAUGGGAGGUGUGACAGAAAGGAACAAAUAAAGGAUGUUUCCUUGGUUUUGGUUUGAUGGAUGAGCUAUUUACUUAUGGAGGAGGAAGGAGUUUAGACAGAAUUCCAGAGAUGCCUAUUAUAUUUCUAAGAGAGCUGUCACAUAGGUAAUCAAUUAAAAUAAUGGAUAUAGUUAAGGUAACAAAGUGUUUUUUAGAGAAAGGAAGCAAAUAGAGGAUCAGGUUCGGAGACAAUCUAACAUUUAGAGGUUAGAUAGAGGAUGAGUCAGCAAAGAAAGAGUGAUCAGUGAAAGAGGAAAACAAGCAGAGUAGAGUUUCAUGAAAGCAAGAGAAAUGUGUUUUAAGUGGGAAAAGUGGUCAAUCUUUUUUUUUUUUUUCCCCAAGAGAGAGGUAGGGAGGGGCACAGGGAAAGAGAAUCUUAAGCAGGGGGCCUCCAUCUCACAACCCUGAGAUCAUGACCUGAGCUGAAGUCAAGAGUUGGAUGCUUAACUGAGCCUCCCAACUGCUCCGUGGUCAAUCAUUUUGAAUGUUAUUUACUGAAGCACUAAGUAAUAGGAGCUUUGUUCACUGUAAUUGGCCACAGUGAAUUGAUGGUAAAUUCAGUAUAGGUGGAGGACCGCUUCCAGACUGGAUUCGGUUGAAGAGGUUAUAAGGUUGGUAAGGAAGUAAAGACAGUAAGUGUAGAUUACCAUUUGAGAAGUUUUGCCAUGAAGGGGAACAGGAAAAUAAAGUGAUAGUGGGCAAGAAAAUAUGAUUCUUGGUUUUUAUUUGGGACAUAUUACAUCAAGUUUAUAUGCUGAUGGAGUGAGCCAUGAGAAAAGAGAAAGACUGAUAGGGUGCAAAUUAUAAAGGGAGGAGGAUUUUGAAUGGGAUCCAGAGCACAAGAGAGAAAUGAGUCCUUAAUACAUCAGGGACCCUUCUCCAUUUAUAACGAGGGAAGAUGGUAAAAUGCAGUAAAUACAGGUAGGUUUGUAGAUUUGAUUGUAGAAACAUGAGAGCAUUUUGCUGUGAUUAACUCUGUAUUCUGCUUAACUUUGAAGUGAAAUUACUACACAAAACUGGUAAUUUGAUGGUACACCCAUGUCUGGUUUGAUUACUGUAUUUUUUUAAAGAAUUAUUUAUUUAUUUUAGAGCAUGUGCACCGGAGUUUGGGGGGUGCAGAAGGAGAGAAUCUCAAGCAGACUCCCUGCUGAGUGUGGAGCCCGAUGUGGGGCUCAGUCUCACGACCCCUGAGAUCAUGACCUGAGCUGUAGUCACGAGUCAGACACUUAACUGACUGAGCCACCCAGGUGCCCCUUUUCUUUUUUUGAUUUGCUUGAAAGAUAAUUGGGAUGAGCAGAGCCAUUCAUCCCCCAUCUUCCACUGCUGCUCUCCUCCUUCAUUCCACUUCUUCUCCUACCCCAGUGGCCAUGGCCAUUCUUGGCAUCCCCUAUGAGUGAUGGUAUCUCAUCAUGGCAGACCAUAGAGAUAAUGAGUUUCAAGGCUAUCACAAGAAAAGAUGGGGGAGCACAAGAAGAUCAACUACUGUCUUAAACAGUUAAGGGAACAAUUGAAAGAACUUACCAAUCAGUAUGAAAAGUCUGAAAAUGAUCCAAAGGACUACAAUCACCCAAAUCUGGGCAAACUGUUUAUGAAGUACUUAAGAAGGUAACUGAAGAAAAAUUCGUUAUUAAAUGAACCAAGAUAUGUUGUCAGUUGUCAUUGUCAGCUUGAAAAAAGUAAGCUGAGGUCAGGAACAAGAGUUGUUUUGCCUGAUUACAUUGAUAUUUGCCAAGAUCCACUGGUUUACAACAUGUCUCAUUAAGGACAUAGGGAAUAUUUCCUUUUGUGAAGUGGAGGGGUUAUCAGAACAGAUCAGAGAAUUCAGAGGUAAUAAUAGAACUACCUCUUAAAACCUAGAAUUAUUGCAUUAUAGGGAUAUCUCCAAAAGGCUGUUUGUUAUAUGGGCCAAUAGUUAAGAAAAACAAUAGCAAGAGCUGCUGUUAGCCAACUGGAAUACAAUUUCUUAAAUGUAGACCAGUACAUUGGUGAAAGUGCUCAUUUGAUCAGAGAAAUGUUUACACCAGGAAUCAUCAGUCAUGCAUUAUUUUUAUGGAUAAAAAAUGAUGCCAUUGGUGGAUACUGGUUUCCUGGAAGUACUUCAGCUGAUAGAUUCAGAGGACUUUAUGGAGUUACCCAAAUGGAAGGAUAUGAUACUCUGCACAGUUAAAAUAAUCAUGGCUACAAACAAGCACAGUGGAUCCUGCUUUGCUGUCUCCAGAUAAAUAGAGAAGAUACACAAUCUAUCUAUAAGCAAGGUUAAAUAGAUUAGUAGAAGCAUUUACGAAGCCUUCAGAUGGCUCUAAUGGA